RNAcentral lists this ribosomal RNA (112 nucleotides) under Caerostris extrusa. Lineage: Eukaryota; Metazoa; Arthropoda; Arachnida; Araneae; Araneidae. The record is from RNAcentral.
AACGGCCAUACCAUGCUGAAUAUACCGGUUCUCGUUAAAUCACCGAAGUCAAGCAUCAUUGGGCGCGGUCAGUACUUGGGUGGGUGACCACCUGGGAACACUGCGUGCCGUU